AACGAACGCUGGCGGCAGGCUUAACACAUGCAAGUCGAGCGCCCCGCAAGGGGAGCGGCAGACGGGUGAGUAACGCGUGGGAAUCUACCCAUCUCUACGGAAUAACUCAGGGAAACUUGUGCUAAUACCGUAUACGCCCUUUGGGGGAAAGAUUUAUCGGAGAUGGAUGAGCCCGCGUUGGAUUAGCUAGUUGGUGGGGUAAUGGCCUACCAAGGCGACGAUCCAUAGCUGGUCUGAGAGGAUGAUCAGCCACACUGGGACUGAGACACGGCCCAGACUCCUACGGGAGGCAGCGGUGGGGAAUAUUGGACAAUGGGCGCAAGCCUGAUCCAGCCAUGCCGCGUGAGUGAUGAAGGCCCUAGGGUUGUAAAGCUCUUUCACCGGUGAAGAUAAUGACGGUAACCGGAGAAGAAGCCCCGGCUAACUUCGUG
This 431-nucleotide ribosomal RNA is filed under the name uncultured bacterium. RNAcentral's name for it is "bacterial SSU rRNA". It matches the Rfam family "Bacterial small subunit ribosomal RNA", at positions 29 to 507 of the family's 1533-position model. The record is from RNAcentral.